AUCUACAUGAAGGGCUAGACUGACUGAUGCAUGUGGUUGUUAUGCUUCCCAAAGCAACUGCAUAGGUCUGUUCUCCCAACACAGCUUUUCCUGAAACAGGCAAGUUGUCAUGGGGGUGGGGUGUGUGUGUGUGUGUGUGUGUGUGUGUGUGUGUGUGUGUGUGUGUGCUUAUGCAUGCAUGCACAUGCACUGAAUCACAGGGUCUAUCUACUUUGGGGUGGAAGCCCUGUAGGGAACAUGUAGACCAAUUUUGUUGUCAAAAAGGCUAGAGCUUUACUCUGGUGUGCCAACAUCCACUCCUGCGGCCCUAAGCCCCAGAGUCAUAGGUCAUUGACUUUCUUUAGAAACCACACCUCUGUGGGGUUUUUCCCUGAUGUUCCUAAAAGGGCCAUAUAUGCAAAGCGGUCCCCAGAUGCCAAAGGAGUCAAUACAUCAAAGAACAAAACUAGACAAAUUCAGUUUGUCGGUAAAGGGUGGUUUAUUGCAGAAACUUAUAGAUAUAAGCGUGAUCUUGGGUGGUCACAAGACACAUAGAUUUCCACACAGUUACCUCCCAGACCCAAAGCUCAUAUACAAUAGGGAAAGAGUGGACAUGUUGCAGCAAGAUAAUUAAAGACAACCCUCCAGAACAGGCAGGAAUGCCAUGUGCGUCAUAGCCCAUAACUUGUGUGACAGCAUCAUUUUUGACCUCUUCUUACACUAAGGGCAGUAAAUAAAGUAGGAAGCAGGAGGCAUUCAUGGGACUAGGGCUUGUCAGAAGUCAACAUGGUGGAUUAGCACCCAAAAUGGAGUCAUUUUUGUCCCCACACCGGGGACUAAGCACGGUAGAACUGGUUCCUUGAUAAAUGUAGGGUUAGAAAAGAUAGAUGUCAAGGUAGCCACUAGCAUUUAAUGCCUUAAAUGCCUGCUGCCUACUCUUGCUUUUGUUUUGGCCAAUCCUGAGCUUAGGGGUCCCUGGAGCUUGCACAGGAGAACAGCUGCCACCUCCACUGUAGCCUUCUUUUGAAGGCACUCAGGUUGCUUGUCUUCUUAUUCAAUACUACACGAUCUUCUUUCCGUAUUCUAGAAACCAGUCAAAAUCUCCAGUCCAUUCAUUGCCUGCUGUGGUUGUUUUCACCCUAUAUUUCUUUAUUUGUAACAUAUACUCAUUCAGCAUUUUGCACUAAAACCUAACCACUAUAUUUUUAAAAGAGUCUGGGUUCGAAACAAUAGGCUACUAUGAACCCUGCCUUUUGUGUUUGCAUAGGAUAUUAAUAUAGGACACCUUUGCUCUUGAUAUUGACUGCUGUCUCCAAAGGUUGAGUCAAAAAUCAUAGAUGGUAAAUGUUCCCAUAUUCCCAAGUGAAGUGCUUAGCCUCCUAUACGGAGCUAGCAAAGAAGGUGAUCAAAAACCUCUGCCAUCCUAACAUCCACCAAAGGGUUAAGAGGUUGAGAUUGAGUAAGAAUGCAUGUUGAAAAAAUUAUUGGCAAGCUGAUGUCUUUUUCUCCCCCUAACCCCAGACAUUGCGGAGGGGAGAGACUCGGGGACCUUUACCCCAAGUGUAGUGAGAAGGGCUUCGGAGACACACUUGGAAAGGUUGAUGAGUGUGGCUUAGAGUUGGUAAUGUGUUUGGCUCUUACGCAUGGAGCCAAAGCUAAAAGGCUAAGCUGAUGCCAUGUAUGAGGGCAGAAAAGCUUGAGAUUGCCAUGAACCACAUGGGCAAUGAGGAUUGUAACUGGAUCCAUCUGGAAGGAAUCCUACAUAGGAGAGCAGCUGAGUGAGGGGAUCCCAUCAGUAUCAGGGCAAGGGAACAAGGGUCAGGUGCUGAAGGUGAGGGUUGUUACAACAGUUCAGCUAGAGAAUGAGUCCCUCAUGAGAAAACUGGGCAAUGUGAAGUCUCACAGAGACCUCUGAAGAACCCACAAGUGCACUCAAAGGAAAAAAGUCAGCUUGGAGCCUCCAUACCCCAUCCUCAAUUAGGGCCUCAGCUCAGCUGGGAAAGAGGAGAAAAUCAAGGAAAUCGAAAGGAAACUACCACAUUCCUCUUUCCCACUGCAAGUUUCCAGCCCAGAGGAGGCCUGAACUGGUGCUGGAUGCUUCAUACCCUCGAUCACUGGACUCCAGGUUCUUCAGCUUUUGGACUCUUGGACCUACACCAGUGGUUUGCCAGGGGCUCUCGGGCCUUUGCCACAGACUGAAGGCUGCACUGUUAGCUUCCCUGCUUUUGAGAUUUGGGGACUCGGACUGGCUUCUCUGCUCCUCAGCUUGCAGACGGCCUAUUGUGGAACUUCACCUCGUGACUGUUUCUGGUGACUGGAAGUUCAAGAUCAGAGUGCCAGCAGAUGCAGGUUCUAGUGAGGAUCUUCUUCCUGGUUGCAGACACUGACUUCCUGUAUCAUCAAAUUAUGGAAAGAAAAAAGGUAGGUCAUUGGCCUUUCCUUAUAAGGUCACUAAUCCCCUUCAUGAGGGCUCCACCCUUGUGACCUAAUUACCUCCCAAAGUCCCACCUCCAAGUACCAUCACACUGGAGAUUAGAUUUCAACAUGUGAAUUUUGAGGGGAAAAAAUAUUCAAUCUAUAACAGGGAUCAAAAUUCUGUUCUGAACCUCUCUUCCAUGUGAGAUUGGAACUAGAUACAAGUGCUUGUUAUUUGUCAAAUAUUUGUGAUAUCUUCAACUCAUUUCAUAUUUAGAAGGACAAUUUUUCAACAGGUGGAAAUGAAAUAUUUAAAAGUGUGAUUUCAUAACAUCCUAAGUUAAACACAAAGAAAUGACUGAGAUUGCCAGAGAGCAGGAGCAAAUGUUGGUUGUGGGCACACAUACUCAUUUGUCCAUUUUACAGAAACAUGUAUUGUUAUCUUCGUGUGGAUGUCACAAAGUAGAAGUCUGAUAGAAUAUCUUUUGCCAAGUUGACUUUUGAUCCUGACUACUUUGGAGUCAGUUAUGUCCAGGUCCUUAUCAUCACAGCUGUUCAUAAUUACAGCAUCCCAAUUAGUCUCUCUUCUCCAGUCUAUCCCCAAACUAAUCCAUCCUAUAGAUUGCCAGAAGGCUAAUUGUCCUAGAACAGCGUCAUGUGCCAUAUUGCAUUGUUUUGGUCAAUGACGGACCUCAUAUGCAACAGUGGUUCCCUAAGAUUAUAAUGGAGCUGAACAAUUCCUAUUACCUAGUGACAUUGUAGCACAACACAUUACUCACAUGUUUGUGGUUAUGCUGGUAUAAACACGCCUACUGAGGCCCGGCGCGGUGGCUCACGCCUGUAAUCCCAGCACUUUGGGAGGCCAAGGCGGGCAGAUCGAGACCAUCCUGGCUAACACAGUGAAACCCCGUCUCCACUAAAAAUACAAAAAAUUAGCCAGGCGUGGUGGCAGGCGCCUGUGGUCCCAGCUACCCGGGAGGCUGAGGCAGGAGAAUGGCUUGAACCCGGGAGGCGGAGCUGGCAGUGGGUGGAGAUCGUGCCACUGCACUCCAGCCCGGGCGGCAGAGUGAGACUCCAUCUCAAAAAAACAAACAAACAAACAAACAAAAAAACCACACCUACUGAGCUGUCAGUCAUAUAGAAUAUAGUACCAACAAUUAUGUACAUUCAGUACAUAAUGAUUGAUAAGGAUAACAAAUGACUAUGUUACUGGUUUAUGUAUUCAUUAUACUAUACUUUUUAUUGUUAUUUUAGAAUGUACUCUUACUUUAAAAAAAGUUAACUAUAAAACAGCUUCAGGCAAGUCCUUUAGGAGGUAUUAUAGAAGAAGGCACUGGUAUAAGAAAUGGCAGCUCCAGGCCAGGCGCAGUGGCUCACGCCUGUAAUCCCAGCAGUUUGGGAGGCCGAGGUGGGUGGAUCACCUGAGGUCAGGAGUUUGAGACCAGCCUGGCCAACAUGGUGAAACCCUGCCUCUAUUAAAAAUAUAAAAAUUUAGCUGGGUGUGAUGACACACGCCUGUAAUCCCAGCUACUUGGGAGGCUGAGGCAGGAGAAUUGCUUGAACCCGGGAGGUG
Molecule: long non-coding RNA, 3967 nt
Organism: Homo sapiens (human)
Lineage: Eukaryota; Metazoa; Chordata; Mammalia; Primates; Hominidae
Exons: 3
Source: RefSeq, a predicted model, not a curated record